Molecule: long non-coding RNA, 1717 nt
Filed under: Macaca fascicularis (crab-eating macaque)
Lineage: Eukaryota; Metazoa; Chordata; Mammalia; Primates; Cercopithecidae
Description: lncRNA (ENSMFAG00000063345.1)
Source: RNAcentral
ACAUGGCCUCUAUUCAGAAAUUUAACCAUUUACACACAACAGAAAGAAUUUUCCUCAAGAUCACUACUUUUGCCCAGUAUAUCUGAUUGUCUUUCUGCUUCAAAUCUCCAGAAAAUGUAUUCCCUUUAACAACUUAACUGGGAGAAGGAGGAAAGAAACCUAAGCAGAUACGACUCCACCUAAGUUUUAUGAGGAACCUUCGAAGGAAGCUCUGAGAAAAACAAGUCUGUGUCUUUUUCUCCUUCUUAGACUAGGCUUUUGACAUCUAACAGUGUGCACAUUUACCAAUUAACAGUUAUGUUCUUACUGGUUGAGAGAACAAGGCAUUAACACAUCUGGUGUCUGCUGCGGCUGGUCCCAGGAGACCUGUAGAGAGGCCAAGUGGUUGCUGUGGGCUUUUGCUACCUCUUUGGACAGUCACUGCCUAUAUGAGACGAGGAGGCCGGACCCUCUCAGCUCCUGACAUCCUCUCUAACCUCCUGUGAUCCAGUCACCCUGUGGGCAAACCAAAGCAGCCCUGGCCCCUCUCCAGCAGUGUCUCCCUGGAGGGCUCGGCCUCUUGGGUUUUACUUCGCUCUCAGUUUAUGCCUUCAUUCUCCUCUCACCCUCAUUAACCAAGAGGAAAAACUAAUUCUAGAAAGGACUCCAUUUCCCCCAUAUUGUAUAUUUCAUAUCCGCAGAGCACGCUGUGCCCUAUUAAGAAUUAAACUGCGAGCACUAACCUCAUCUCAUUUGUGCCAGGGGUCUUGUUCACAACCUGCUUCCCCAGCAAAGCAGGGCCAUGGGUUAGGACCCCCCCACCCCACACACACACAUGCUUGGUGGAGUGGUUCCCAUCUCUUUUUAAUGCCUUUGGCAGGGGACAGAGAGAUAGAGAGAGAGAGAAGGAAAGACAGGGAGAGAAAGCAAGAGAAAAAAAGAAAAACACAAAAGAAGAACAAGAGGGAAAGAAAAGCUCUCGAACAGCAGCCCUGCAUUUUGUUAGAACAUUGGCACUGCAUUUAUCAGGAUUACUGGAGGGAGAGCAGGGUUUGAUCCUCUUCUCCACUGGGAGAGGGAAAAGCUUUAUUGUACCUUUUUUAACAUCUCACAGUUAGAUCAGAACAAUACACUGUGUGUGUACAUAUACACCAUACGUAUGUGCCUAAGGAUGGUAUUCUACUUGGGACACACCCUGUUUUCAAAGCAUGGCUGAAUUUUUCAUAAAGGCCAGAUACAGAAAGCCACCAGGCUCUCCCUGGGUCUCCCUUCCCAGCAGACCUUCCCCCACUCCCCACCCCCUUGCCCGACUUGGAUCAGCAGGAUUCACUCCUGUCAAACAAAUUAGAGCAUCUAUGAAAUGGGGCUAUCGACAUGUGUGACUUGAUCUGUUUUAAUAGGGGCCCGGUGGGAGUUUCCUCCCUGCCCCACUGAGCUUUGUAUUCUUCACGGAAAGGCAGACGGGGCGCGGGAGGAUGCUGUGGACUUUAACCCUUUGCUGCCAGCAGGUUGCCUGCCUCCUGCGUGCAGCCGCUUCCUUUUUGUGCCUGGCCAUUGUCUGGGGAGUGCGUGCGGCCUGCCAUGCUCUUCAUGCUUGUUAUCUCACAGGAGACAAGCUCACCCCGGGAGAGGAAGAGAGAGCUGCAUUCUGAAGCAGAUCUUUUUGAUUCCCUUUCUUUCCUCUUCCCUCUAAAAUAAUUAGAAGUGCUGGUCAAGGUAUUAAAAAAAAAAAAAAAAA